ACAGAAGGGUUUGAGCUACAAAGACGAUACGUAUCCAUAAGAGAUUCAAAAAUAGAAUUCAGCGUAACACCCAUGUUAGAUAAAUGCCUCAAAAUUGACUUAACAUUGUCAUGCCAUCAAAUAAUUACACAAAAUCGAUUAACACAGUCAAUGAAUGAAACAAGCGAUGAAUAGUACAAAAAGAGUGACCUGAAUUACUUUCAAUUUUUCAAAGAAACCUGUUGCCCAUUUACAAAGAAACUCAUGCCGAUGAAGCUAGACACGGACAGACCCGACCGAAAACCUCAAUGAAACAACCUCGGACUCCGACAGUAUCUCAAUCACGACUUCAAAACAAAUUGAAUGGACAAUAUCUAAAAUAAGCCAAGCGAAGCUUGAAACCAGAUUCAAGUUUCUCUCAUGCUCACAAAAGCUCUACUGGUUCGCUGUUGUCCCUUUCUCGUUUCUAUGCAUGCGUGUGGUUGUGCGUGAGUGUUUUCCGGCGAGCUAUGGUAAAGAGAAGGAGGAGAAGCGAUGGGUGUUAGAUAAUGGUCGAGAUUCGGCCGGCUGCUUAAGGUCGUUCGCAUUUUUCUGGCGAGCUAGUGAGAUCGAGUGAAAAACAAAAGUCGUUGUUGUUGUUAGGGUCGUUGGUGUGGUGGUCACUGGUUAAUGUUGCUGAAGCUUAGGGGUGUUCAUGGAGUUCUAUGGUUGUCCCUUAUUUGUGAAGAAUAUUAUGAGGGGUUCCUUUUGUUUUUUGUUUGUUCGCUGCUCAAGAUCAGGUCUCAUGAAGAUGAAGCUCAACGACUGCUUAUGGUUUGUAGAGGAAGAAGAAGCAACGCUGGAGGGGGUCGUGUGUUUAUGGCUACUACAGCAGCUUCUAGGUCUCUAGGGUUCUUUUGUGUUCUCCCCAAUGAAGAAGAAGGGUGGUAACGGGUCCUAGGUCUCAAAAACGGCUGAAGGGUCUAUUUUUGUGUAUUUGCAGCUGAUUCUUAAGGGUCUAGGGGUCCUUUUAUGCUUAGAGAUAUUUAGGAUUUAAAAAAAAAGAUCUCAUGGGCCUAAUGGAUUUUUGGGCUUUAACAUUGAAAUUGGAUUGAGUCCAUAUUUUAUUGGGUCUUAAUUUUGGGCUAAGGAGACUACAAUAUGAAAAUAUAAAAUUUACUCUUAAUUAAUUAGAACACACUACUAAAAUAAAACUAGAUAUUAAAAGUGAAACUAUUUUUUUUAUUUUCAAGAUUAUAAAAGAUAAAAAUAAGGUACUAUUUUUGUAUUUUUUAAAAUUUUAUGAAAUGUACAUAAAAUAAAAUAUUUUUUGUAAUUUUUAUUUUUGUGACGGAAUAAAGUAAAAGAGUCAUAAUUAGUUGAAAUAGCGAUAUUAGGCCUAAACCAAAUAUUUACAUGCUAAAAUAUAAAAAAUCUUGAGGAGCGUCAAAAAUCACAUGUCUACAGCUGCCCCUCUUUGACUGGAAACACGAAGUAUUUUCAGACAAAGAACGACUAGAUAGGUUUUUUGACCCGACCCUUAUUUAGAGAGACCAAAAACUAAGAGGAAGGAGAAUGUGACCAAGCCCUGGUGUCUGAGCUGCCUACAUAUCCUUGGCUAUAAAGGAAUCAGCCCACGUGUAGUUCAGAAGUAGGAAUAGUGAUGGAGUAUACCGAGGUGGAAAGCCGGUCGAGGUGCCACUCCGUCGAGGUUCUGGUACGUGAUCCUGUUAUUACAUCAAAAUUAAAAAUGAAAAGGACUAAAUAAGCCUGUCAACUAUGAGUUACAAGAUUCCUAUCUAUAAGUCUUUUGAAACUUGAUCUUGAGUUCUUGAGUCUUGAAUGGUUCUUCAUGCAGACUUUAGAUUUGAACCUUGACUCUUACUAGCUGCAGGUGCUAGUUCAUUCUUCUUCGGAUCAACAUCGGACAUGCAAUGCUCGUGAUUUCAGCCAUGUCUUGAGCAGUUCACAUCUUUCUCUACUUUUGCAUUUUGGAUUCACUUCUUUCUCUUUUUAUUUUUUUUUCUCUUUUUUUUGGAUUGAAACUGCUUCUGUUGGUCAUCUCGGACUAUUGACUCGCAUUCUUGCUACGAGCUUCUACUACUUCUAACUUGAAUUGAAUUCUGAAAUGACUUCCAUUGUUCUCCAGGUGGGCUCCUGCUACUGACUUGAAACUUGAAAUAAUUCCGAAACAAAUUCCCUUUGUUCUCCAGGUGGAUGCCUGCAAUUAAAACAACAAAACAAACGAAAUUUUCUGCCCUAGUUUGCACUAGGAAGAUCUGUGAAUUGUCAGCAAAACUGUAAACCACUUAUGUUAUGAAGUAAUAAUGAGAGCAAACUAAAGACUCGACUAGGAUGUGCGUAUCCUAUGAGUAAAACCAAGAAAAUUUGACUAGCAAAUGCAUCCACUAAAAAUAAAACCUAAAUGACCCAGAUUAGGAAGUACGUCUCCUACGGGUGAAACUUAAAUGAACCAAACUAGAAAGUGCGACUCCUAGGGGUAAACUCUCAAUUUAGGAAGUGCGUCUCCUAAAAGAAUAACUUGAAAGACCUUGAUUAGGAAGUGCGUCUCCUACAGGUGAAACUUGAAUGAACCAAACUAGGAAGUGUGUCUCCUAGGGCUGAACAUAAAUAACCUAAACUAGGAAGUGCGUCUCCUGGGGGUGAAAUCUCAAUUUAGGAAGUGCGUCUCCAAAAUGUAUAUCCUGAAAAACCCGGACUAGGAAGUGUGUCUCCUAGGGGUGAAACUUGAAUGAAACAAACUAGGAAGUGCAUCUCCAAGGGUUGAACUUAAAUGACCUAGACUAGGAAGUGCGUCUCCUAGGGAUAAAAUCUCAAUUUAGGAAGUGCAUCUCCUAAGACAAAAAUAUAACCUGAAAUACCCAGACUAGGAGGUGCGUCUCCUAAGGGUGAAACUUCAAUGACUCAAACUAGGAAGUGUGUCUCCUAGGGGUGAAACUUCGAUGACUCAAACUAGGAAGUGCGUCUCCUAGGAAUGAAACUUAAAUGACACAAACUACGAAGUGCGUCUCCUAGGGGUAAACUCUUAAUUUAGGAAGUGCAUCUCCUAAAAGUAUAUUUUGAAGAACCCAGACUAGGAAGUGCGUCUCCUAGAGGUGAAAUCUCAAUUUAGGAAGUGCGUCUCCUAAAAUAAAAUUUAACUUGAAAGAUCCAGACUAGGAAGUGCGUCUCCUAGGGGUGAAACAUCAAUGACUUAAACUAGGAAGUUUGUCUCCUAGGAAUAAACUUAAAUGACCCAAACUAAGAAGUGUGUCUCCUAGGGGUAAAAUCUCAUUUUAGGAAGUACGUCUUCUAAAACAAAAUAUAACCUGACAGACCCAAACUAGGAAGUGCGUCUCCUAGGGGUGAAACUUCUAUGACUCAAACUAGGAAGUGCGUAUCCUAUGAAUGAACUUAAAUGACCCAAAACUAGGAAGUGCGUCUCCUAGGGGUAAAAUCUCAAUUUAUGAAGUGCGUCUCUUAAAACAAAAAUAUAACCUGAAAGACCCAAACUAGGAAGUGUGUCUCCUAGAGGUGAAGCUCAAUUUAGGAAGUGCGUCUCCUANNNNNNNNNNNNNNNNNNNNNNNNNNNNNNNNNNNNNNNNNNNNNNNNNNNNNNNNNNNNNNNNNNNNNNNNNNNNNNNNNNNNNNNNNNNNNNNNNNNNNNNNNNNNNNNNNNNNNNNNNNNNNNNNNNNNNNNNNNNNNNNNNNNNNNNNNNNNNNNNNNNNNNNNNNNNNNNNNNNNNNNNNNNNNNNNNNNNNNNNNNNNNNNNNNNNNNNNNNNNNNNNNNNNNNNNNNNNNNNNNNNNNNNNNNNNNNNNNNNNNNNNNNNNNNNNNNNNNNNNNNNNNNNNNNNNNNNNNNNNNNNNNNNNNNNNNNNNNNNNNNNNNNNNNNNNNNNNNNNNNNNNNNNNNNNNNNNNNNNNNNNNNNNNNNNNNNNNNNNNNNNNNNNNNNNNNNNNNNNNNNNNNNNNNNNNNNNNNNNNNNNNNNNNNNNNNNNNNNNNNNNNNNNNNNNNNNNNNNNNNNNNNNNNNNNNNNNNNNNNNNNNNNNNNNNNNNNNNNNNNNNNNNNNNNNNNNNNNNNNNNNNNNNNNNNNNNNNNNNNNNNNNNNNNNNNNNNNNNNNNNNNNNNNNNNNNNNNNNNNNNNNNNNNNNNNNNNNNNNNNNNNNNNNNNNNNGUCUCCUAGGGGUAAAACUCAACUUAGGAAGUACGUCUCCUAAAACAAAAUAUAACCUGGAAGACCCAUGAAACUCAAUUUAGGAAGUACGUCUCCUAAAACAAAAUAUAACCUGAAAGACCCAGACUAGGGGUGAAACUCAAUUUAGGAAGUGCAUCUCCUACAACAAAAUAUAACUUGAAAACCCAGACUAGGAAGUGCAUCUCCUAAGGGUGAAACCUCAAUUUAGGAAGUGCAUCUCCUACAACAAAAUAUAACUUGAAAACCCAGACUAGGAAGUGUUUCUCCUAGGGGUGAUGUGUGAUCUUCUCAAUAGCCUUUGUGUAAGCAGAUUUGGGACAUUACACCUGAAAGAUUCAAGCUUUGAUAUGAACAUAGCUUUCAUCCCUGUUUUAGAAAAAGAAAACUUGUGAGUUUAAACAUGGUGGUUGGUUUAUGGCCUUGACUUUGAGGGCGAUUGCUCCUUCACUUGCCAUGAUAACUUUGAUUUCAAAUUGAAAGACAUUUCUUGUUUAUUGACUAACCACUUUCUCCGUCACCCUUAUCACAGAAAAUACCUCUAAUUCAUUCAAACUCAAUACCAUCUAUCUGUUGUAUUUUUCUCAUGAAUUGAUAUUUACCGAACCUUUGCAUUUCACAUGAAUCCCAAAACAUACUGAUUGUUACCAACUCAAUGCGUAUACUGUCCUUUCCUGACUUAUGCCAUUUUUAUGUACCAGCCAGAUUCCGUUUUGUGCAAUUGGAAAACUGGUAGCGAAUUUUAAAGUCAUUUCUCAUGUGUUCUGACCAAACAGACUCAGGAAGAGGAAGUAAACAAGACAAAAGGAACAGAGUAAAGGACAAUGGAAAGAGAUGAUUCCUAACAAGAAAACUACAAAGUAGAAACUUAUCAGAUGUGGAUACCAACUCUAAUAACCAUGACAUGCACCUUUGGAUUAAGUGGCCUAAUCUGUCAAGCAAGUCUAAUGUUCAACUCUCGUUGUACCUCUGAGUCGUGAAAGGUUUUCACCAUCAAACCUCUCUCAUUUUGUUCUUUCUCUCAAAUUAUCGUCGCCUUAUAGUGCCUGUGAAGGUUUUCACCGAUAAGACUCUCUCAUUUUUUAUUUUCUUCUUUUUUUUCCUCUGAUUCUGCAGAUGACAAGGCAUUAACCACGAUAGAAAUAUCAUAUGCUUCUAGCAUGUCUGACUCGGCAUUCAAAGACCAUCUGGGAGGUCUUUUUUGGACUAUAAUGUGGCUUUUGGAUAGGGUUAGAAAGAAAGGAUAUCAUAAAGGCUCAAAAUAACUAAGACAACAGGAUUAAUUUAUUUACAAUUUUUGGAAUCCAUUCUAAAAAAUGUUGCCCCAAUUUCUAAAACAAUGGAAUUUGAUUCUCUUUUUUCUGUUUUUCUUUUUGAAAUGGAAUUUCUAAGAAAGACUACCCCACUCUCGACUUCGUGGGACUAUGNNNNNNNNNNNNNNNNNNNNNNNNNUUAUUUGGUGCGACCGAACUGUAAGACUGCCUACGUAUCUUGUGGUGACAAGAAUCAGGUCGAACGUAGUUCACAAAGAUACUUUUUGUUGCUAUUUUCCUUUCUUUUUCUUUUUCCUUUUUUUUCUUUUUCUCUUUUCUCUUUUGUUUUUUUUCUUUUGACUUUUCUUUUAGAAUGAAUUUUCUAAAACAAACCUUAUGGGGCAUGAUUUUUUUUUCUUCUUCUUUUUGUAAUGGCUCUAACUCGAUUCCAAAAGAGGGGAAGGUCAAGAAAAUUAGUAUAGGUUCAAAAGGGGUAUCGAAUGGUAUAAAGUGUUUGGGUAGCUGAAAGAGGGCCUCCUAAUCUCUGAAAAUGCCAAGUACAACACAUGUAGCUUGAGGAUGAAAAUUGGAGAUCAUGUAUAGCACUUCCUUGCAGCGACGACAUUGAUAUCACAGAUGUGCCUUCCACCUUUCUUUAGUGCCUUGUCAAUUACAGAACUCUUGUUGGGUAAUUUCUUCUUCACACUGGAUGUCCUCCGCUAGUUUGGAGCAAACUCUUUUGGCUUUAUCUUGUAACUUGAGAUGCACUUGACCUGAAAGUUGCUCGCUUCAAAUUGUUGGGGCGCACUCUCUCGUUACAAAUUCUUGUCGUCCUAUUAACUUCCCAAACCAUCUACCCUAGUUUCACAUAUUGGGCUUUAAAUGACCUCAAAAUAUCCAGAUCUUUACUUAUUUCCCUCAAAUGUCCCAAUCAUCUUCAAAAUUAUUUCAUUGCUUCAUGACUAAACUAACUUUUAAGACCAGGUUGAGAAUUAUGCGUGCAUGUCAUGUCACUAGAGCCAGCAGGAAAAGAACUAUAAAAGAAAAGAGAACUAAACAAAAAAUGACUAGAAAUAAUAGAAAAUAGAAAAUUGUGUUAGACAGAUGGUGAAAGGGUUUGAACAAUGAAACAAGCAAACUAUACUGGAGUUACAACCCUAGAACAAAACUUGAUAACACUAAACGAGUUACUACGACUAAACGAACUAGAAAAAAUAAAAGUAUAGAGGGGUUUGAGUCACAAGACAAUAUCCGGAUUACAACCCUGAAAUAACUUGGACAACAGAAAUGACAACAAAAACCACCAAGACUCCUCCCCGGCUAGCCAAGAAAGGAGCAUCUUUCCAAUCACCAAGCUCAACAUCUUAGCCACUGAGUUCCACAUCAAUAUUACUGGGACCUUCACCAAUUUCAAUCACAUUGUCUUCACCAAGUGGCUCAUUGACUCCUUUGACCAACCCUUCAUCAUUGCAAACUAUCCCAAAAAUUUGUGCGUUGUCAUGUAUCUGUAGAGGAUUACAUGUGACACUUGGGGUAUUACUGCCUUGGACCACAAUUAUUCCUUCUUGAAUCAUUCUUUCCAUUUCCCUUUUCAAAUAAUGACAAUCUUCAACAUUGUACCCCUAGGCAUUGGAAUGGUAUUCACACCUUUUAGCAGGGCCAAAGCUUCUUGCACGUGGGCCUAUAAAAUUUGGAGGAAUAGGUUCAAUCAUGUCGUAAUACUUUAAUUUCUCAAACAAGCUUGCAUAGGAUUCUCCUAUUGGUGUAAAAUUAUCUUUCAGCCUUUGUUCCCUUCUACACCAUUGGCUUGGAUGUGGGUUAUAGGGCACUUGAAAAUUUUGUGGAGGCUGGUGGGGAUUCUGCGAUGCUCGUGCUCGCCUUUUGGAGUGACCUAGUGGUUUGACAGAUGGUCGGACGUUGUUUGGAGGAUAAUACUAGGGUGAAUUAUGUGGAGCUUGGGGAUAUUCAUGGGGUCGUUAUUGAGGCUGAAAGCGUUUAGCAGGAAUACCCACUGGAUCAUGUCGUUGGCGGGGCUCAGCAACAUAUUUUCUACCAAUCGGAGGACUGACCCGAGCAACUUGUUUGUUCCAUCUAAACCAAAACUCCCUAAAACUUUCUUUGGGUUUCUUUUCCAUCUGAGACAGGAAGGAGCGGUCUGGGAUAAUGUCUAAAUUGUACUGAAAGUGUCGAAUAAAAUCUUGAGUCAUGUCAUCCCAUGCAUGCCACUUCUUGAUAUUUUGACGAGUAUACCAUUCCAAGGCUGCCCCACUCAAACUCUCACUGAAAUGUGCCAUCAACAAUUCAUCUUUCCCGCAAACACUUCUCAUUUCACUGCAAUAACCCUUCAGAUGGGCUACUAGAUCUCCACGCCCAUCAUACAAAUCAAACUUUGGAAUCUUAGACCUAGCAGGCAGUUGGAUGUCAAGACACAAGCACAAAUCUUUGUAAGGCACGCUCAUCUGGUUCUCUAUCCCUGGCAUGUUUCUUAAAGACUGCUCUAAGAUUUUCACCUUUCUGGAUAUUUCAUCUUGCUCCACUAUCUUAGCAGGCUUUUUAGUUUCACCGAGAAGCUCAAAAUAAGAAGCGCGAGAGUAUGGAUCCGAGAACUUGAAAGUUGGUUCUGGAGCACAGUGUUGGGCAUCGGGGAUUUUGAACACAGUCUCUCUAGAGGAUCGAGGAAAGGUAGCUGGUGGAGGAGCUACAAAAACAUGAAUGGUCAAAGGAGCAGGAUAUGAUGUGGUUCUGGGGGUGGAGUGUGAAAAGAUUGUGGGGAGAUAUCCUGGACUUGUGACAGUAGCGGAAUGGUGGCAAGGCUUUCAGUGUAGUUAGUAGGAACUGAUGGUGGAGGACGCCCACUAAUCCCAGCUUGGUAUAUUUCGGUCAUCUGUCCUUUCAACCUUAAGGCCUCUUCUUUCAACUCAAAUUCUGAUUCAACAAUUCCGUUAGACGGAUCAAUAACCCCUGUGUCCGAGUCUUGGCUAGCCAUGGCUACCUUGCUUUUUGAACUUGUGUCGUAUGGAUGAGUUACUUAAGAACCACAAACCAACCACCCUUCUGCUCAAUGAAGAUAACAAAAGGAAUAAAAUGGUAUCAUCCUGUUAGCAUUAGGACAUUUACCAGCUAAAAAUAUCACAUUGCGUGCAAUGCACCUAGAAACCAUUAACGGUUCUAGAAUGAAUUCGAAAGUUAGAAGGUCACUUGGCAUCAUCCCAAUUUUGUUCAUUUCAAUAUUCUCUUUUCUUUCUUUUCUAGCACUUAUUGGCCUGCUCAAUUUCCUUCCUAUCUUUUUUUCUUCUAAUUAUCACUCUUUUCUUUCCUCUCAUUUCUCACAUCCCAUAAUUUCACCUCUUCUUUUUUUUCGUUUCCCUUUUUUCUUUUCUUUUAAUUUUUUUAAAAAAAUAAUUCGAUCGAACCCUAUGUAGGUUGCCUACAUAUCAUGUCCGUCAUGAAUCAGACCAAGCGUAGGUCUGGAAGAUCGAGAAUAAAGAAAACAAACUAACAUUCUCUUUUUCUUAUUAUUUUUUUUACCUUAAUGACUACUCUGAUGAAAAAAAAAAGAAGAAGGAAAUUCUCCUUUUUUUGUUAGACUUAAAGUUCUAUAAUCUAUUCUAAAAUCAAUCUUAAACGAGCAUAUAUUUUUCUUUUUUUCUUUUUUUAUUAAAACAGAUACUCUAUGAGAAAUUAUUAAGGAAAAACCCCUAGAAGAAAAAAAAAUUUGAUUCGUUUUUUUAGGAAGAAAAUCUAAAGAAUGAACCAAAGAAAAAUAUUUUAAAUUUUCACUUGAUAUCCUGAUGAAAGAUUUUGAAACAAGCAAUGAAAAAGAUAAAAAAUGUUUUUGGAUUUCAGUUUUUGAUUACCUAAAGGAAAAACUCUAAAGAUAAACAAAAGAUAAAGUAUGUUUUUUCUUCUAUAUACAAUGUCCUAAAGUUCUAGUGGAAAUAAAAAGAGUAUUUUUUUUAUUUUAUAUAUAUUUCCUAAAGAAGAACCUCAAAAGAAAGUCUUUUUUUUUUUUGGAUUUUUGUAAAUAAUAUCUUAAGAAAAUUUCUAAAGAGGUAUUAAAGAAAAUUCUCUUUUUUUUUUAAUUUUUUUGUUCGAAUUUUAGUCUUAAUGUACUAAAGGAAAUAUAAAAAAUAAUAUUUUUUUAUUUUGAGUUCUAGAUAUUAAUUUCCUAAAGGAAAACCACCUCAAAAGAUUUUUAUAUUUUUUUUAUGAAAUUUUUUUUUAGAAUUAAUAUUCUAAAGAAAACUUCUAAAGGAAAUAUAAAAAUGCAAAAUCUCUUUUUUUGGAUUUUUGAUUUAUAACCCAUUUUUUCAAAUACAAAAUAGGAAGUACAAUAACAAAAGACUCGACAAACUUACUAGACUAUGACAGACUUCAACAUCCCUUAAAAGAUUAGAUAUUACUGUACAGAACUAGAAGGUAAAACACGACAUAAAAAGAAAAACAGACCCAAAACAUAAAAAAUAAAAAAUAAAAAAAAUCUCCUUAAGCAACUCCUGAAUGAGCGAUCUUGACUGGAUAGUCCUAAGGCGUCUGUCAUGCCCAAACUCCGGUAAGUAGAUCCACAUCUGUAUGCGAAAAUUAGACCAAAUAAAGUUAUAGACCUAGAACACUAUGUGAGACAAUAACACUUCAUGUUUGACACAUGCAAGACAUGAUUGAGGCUAUUUUGGCAAAACGGCCUGCAUGGCCCAAAAGUGGCUAGACAUGCAAGAUUUGGCUAAGACCCCGAGAAGACAAGAACCUAAGACUCACUAGGAAGACCGGACCCUAUGUGGGCUGCUUACGUAUCCCACCCCGAAAGACGAGAAUCAGGUAUGCGUAGUUCGGGCGGAUUAGAUAUGGUCGAGAAUUAAAAAACAACUAAUUUAGUGAACACAUAUUUUUGUUUUUUUAAAAAAAAUGAUGGGAAAGUUCAAAAUCUUUUUGGAUUUUUUCAAAAAUAAAAUUUCGUCUUUUUUUUCUUUUUCUUAAAAAAUGUGAAAGAAAAACAUAAUUGUGCCCUACUUGCUUUAUUUUUACACUUCACCCUUUUUUCUUUCUCAUUUACCCUCAACUAUCAUUGGUCCGCCAACUAACCCUUUUACCCUUGAAGAAAUGCAACAUGCAGCACAUAGGAUGCAUCAGGAUGGUCUUUUAUUUUUGGGUACACCUGUCCUAGACAGACCCAACCCCUGUGUUAAGUCCCCAAAGUCAAAUGCACGUGAUGCAAACAAGCGUUCCUACUAGGGAUCCGGCAUGAGGUUAUGUUAUUCUAAGUUUAAAUCUAGGGUUGUGUUCUUGACCUGGCUUAUCCGAGCAGACAACUCGAGUCGAAGAGGGGGAAACGUACCGGGAGUACGAAAGUCUACCCGGCCUUGUUGCUGGCCCAGCCUCGUUCUAUUUGGUAUAACUUCUAACAGAAAAAGUGGGCCACACAAACGUGUGCACCAUAUUAGAAGACUCAGAGUGGUGGCGUAAGAAGACAGUUAAAUACAGUGCAAAUAAUAUCAAAGUAUUAAAUAAACAGCAAUUAGCACAUUAGCUCCAAAAAAAUACAGUAAUAUCAACAAUAAAUAAAGCUAAGUAAAAUCAUGUUAACAAGCUCGAAUUCUUGAAUCCUGAACCAGAAGUUCUGGGUUCUUGACCCUGUCAGAGUUGUCACACCUCCUUUUUCCUACCCCGAAAGGGUAUAUAAGAGUGUUCUUUUUUCAAUUUAAGUGACAAUCGAAACGGGAUUAUUUAUAUUAAAUCAGAGUCUCCAGUUGAGAUAAUUCAUGGUGUCCCAAGUCACCGAUUUAAAACCUGGAUCGAGGAAGUUGACUCUUAUUUAUGGUCUGCGAACACAGAAAUUCGGGUAAGGAAUUCUGUUAACCCAUGAGAAGGUGUUAGGUUCUUCAGGAUUCCGUGGUUUUAGCACAGUCGUUUUGAUUGUACUUGGCUUAAUCAAAUUGUCUAAUUACUCAUUUUUUGAACCUAUGUGCAUUUGCCUCUUUUAAUUAAGAAAUUAUCUUAAAACAGGUCACGCGCACGUGUACCCAUUUGUUUGGCACAUAAAAAAUCAUGUCACGCGAACGUGUCCACAAUUAAUCACGUUCUAUUAAUAUUAAGAAAUUUUUGGUCAAUGUUGUGCGAAAGCAUACUCCGAUUUUGUUUUUAGAAUCGUAAUCAUGUCACACGAACGUGUACUCGAUCACGAUCAUAUAUGCUAGUUAUUCACACUUAGAAAUGUUUAACACUCACUACUCUAUCUGUUGAGCUAUUUUUAUAUCCAUUAAUUUGUAAAAGAUGGUUUAACUUAUAACUUGUUUACCCUAAUGGUUUGCUGUUAAAGUUAUUAAUCUAGUUUCUCGCAAAUUUCAGCAAAACCAAACUUUAAACUCACUUAAAACCCCAAUUAAAAUAUCAAAAAUAGAAGGGUUCGAACUACAAAGACGAUGUGUAUCCAUAAAAGAUUUAAAAACAGAAUUUGGCGUAACACCCAUGUUAGAUAAAUGCCUCAAAAUUUACUUAAUAUUGUCAUGCCAUCAAAUAAUUACACAAAAUCGAUUUAACACAGUCAAUAAAUGAAACAAGCGAUGAAUAGGAGAAAAAGAGUGACCUGAAUUACUUUCAAUUUUUCAAAGAAACCUGCUGCCCGUUUACAAAGAAACUCAUGCCGAUAAAGCUAGACACGGACAGACCCGACCGGAAACCUCAACGAAACAACCUCGGACUCCGACAGUAUCUCAAUCACGAUUUCAAAACAAAUUGAAUGGACAAUAUCUGAAAUAAGCCAAGCGAAGCUUGAAACCAGAUUCAAGUUCCUCUCAUGCUCACAAAAGCUCCACUGGUUCGCUGUUGUCCCUUUCCCGUUUCUGUGCGUGCGUGUGGCUAUGUGUGAGUGUUUUCCGGUGAGCUAUGGUAAAGAGAAGGAGGAGCAGCGAUAGGUUUUAGAGAAUGGUCGAGAUUCGGCCGACUGCUUAAGGUCGUUCGCGUUUUUCGGGCGAGUUGGUGAGAUCGAGUGAAAAAGAAUGGUCGUUGCUGUUGUUAUGGUCGUCGGCGUGGUGGUCACUGGUUAAUGUUGCUGAAGCUUAGGGGUGUUCAUGGAGUUGUGCGGCUAUCCCUUAUUUGUGAAGAAGAUGAUGAGGGGUUCCUUUUGUUUUUUGUUUGUUCGCUGCUCAAGAUCGGGUCUCGAGAAGAUGAAGCUCAACGGCUGCUUAUGGUUUGUAGGGGAAGAAGAAAUAACACUAGAGGGGGUCGUGUGUUUAUGGCUGCUGCGGCAACUUCUAGGUCUCUAGGGUUCUUUUGUGUUCUCCCCAAUGAAGAAGAAGGGUGGUAACGGGUCCUAGGUCUCAAAAACGGCUAAAGGGUCUAUUAUUUUGUGUAUUUUCAGCUGAUGCUUAAGGGUCUAGGGGUCCUUUUAUGCUUAGGGAUAUUUAGGGUUUAAAAAGAAAGAUCUCA
This 12829-nucleotide long non-coding RNA is filed under the name Nicotiana tabacum (common tobacco). RNAcentral's name for it is "long non-coding RNA (NTAB_LNC005417)". The record is from RNAcentral. Lineage: Eukaryota; Viridiplantae; Streptophyta; Magnoliopsida; Solanales; Solanaceae.